Acanthosepion pharaonis is the source of this 109-nucleotide non-coding RNA. The record is from the annotation of a GenBank genome assembly. Lineage: Eukaryota; Metazoa; Mollusca; Cephalopoda; Sepiida; Sepiidae.
ACCACAUCACGUUGACACUCCGGUUCCCAUACGAUCAUUGACGUUAAGCAACGUCGAGCCUAGCCAGUACCUAGAUGAGGGACCGUUUGGAAAUACCAGAUGUUGUAAG